CAGACACGUCCACCGUGAGCCUUUCUGCCUUUUGUGGUGUGGUGACCAUCUGUGCUGCACAUGCAAGGAAUGUCUGAGCUCUCCGGGCAGAUAAACAGGGCAAUCUCCUUUGUGAGGGGGUGAAUAAACAAAUUUUCUUAAGGGGAGCAGAGGAUGGUUUAUUGGUUUUUAUCUUUGAUUGGUUUUACUUAAGCUACUAUUAUUAUCAUCAUCUUUUGUAGUACCACUGCCAGGCCACAGACCCUGUUUUUGCUGGAUACUGCAUUAACAAGCGUGUAACAAACCUGAGUGCUUGACCUGAGGAAUCUCACUGCUCUGCCUUGUGGAAGGAUUCCUACUGUAAGAGCUCGUGACCUGUGUGUGCAGGUGACUGACAGCAGCCAUGACUGCCAAACGAACAGGAGAAGAGAUGAAGACAUGACUUGUGCUGAGGAUGCACUCAAAUGAAAAGGCAGAAAGGCAAUUAAGUGAUCUGUCCAUAGAUGCUACUGCCAUCUCCAGAAGAAAAAAAUUAAUGCUUGAUCAGAAUAAGAAAUUUAUUAAACUCUGGCUAAUGGUACUCUCCUUCAACCUAAACACCACUGCUGGAAUAGGAUAUUCAAAAUCUUCCUGUCUCCUGGAAAGUCCAUGGAGUUGGAGGCAGUAUGACGGAAACCUCGGCUAGGAAAGAAAUGCAUUUGGAAUGAAAAAACAUCAGAUGCAUGUGAACAUUGCUGCUUUGUAAGCCAUAGAAAAUAUUAUUUAUAAAGAAAUGCUGACUGGGACUAGAGAUUUCAAGAACGAUUCCUUCUGUGUAUUAUCCUUCAGCUGUAUCCUGCAUGAAGCCAGGGCUUUGUCAGAGCAGAGGAGCCGAGAUUGGUUAAUACUCAGACAGCCUGCUGAAGUUCCAGUCUGGUUUUCUAAUUUAGAAGUGCUACUGGAUGACAUAAAUGUUCAAAUCAAGGAAACUAAAAACACUGAAGGGUAAUCAGUGAGCAAUCCUUGAAAAAAAUACACAACUGAGAGACUGGACAAAGCCAACAAGAAAAAGGGUGUUUAAUCUUUUCAGAGCCCUUCUCACCUCUGAGAAGACUACAAGAGAAAAAGGUUAAAGGCAGAUAAUGGUAACACAGGUUUGGGGAAAAUAUUGG
Passer domesticus (house sparrow) is the source of this 1130-nucleotide long non-coding RNA. RefSeq lists it as uncharacterized. The transcript has 6 exons. Lineage: Eukaryota; Metazoa; Chordata; Aves; Passeriformes; Passeridae. The record is from RefSeq and is a predicted model, not a curated record.